AGUGAACGCUGGCGGUAGGCCUAACACAUGCAAGUCGAACGGCAGCACAGUAAGAGCUUGCUCUUACGGGUGGCGAGUGGCGGACGGGUGAGGAAUACAUCGGAAUCUACUUUUUCGUGGGGGAUAACGUAGGGAAACUUACGCUAAUACCGCAUACGACCUACGGGUGAAAGCAGGGGAUCUUCGGACCUUGCGCGAUUGAAUGAGCCGAUGUCGGAUUAGCUAGUUGGCGGGGUAAAGGCCCACCAAGGCGACGAUGCGUAGCCGACCUGAGAGGGUGAUCGGCCACACUGGAACUGAGACACGGUCCAGACUCCUACGGGAGGCAGCAGUAGGGAAUCUUCCGCAAUGGGCGAAAGCCUGACGGAGCAACGCCGCGUGAGUGAUGAAGGUCUUCGGAUCGUAAAACUCUGUUAUUAGGGAAGAACAAAUGUGUAAGUAACUAUGCACGUCUUGACGGUACCUAAUCAGAAAGCCACGGCUAACUACGUG
Molecule: ribosomal RNA, 492 nt
Filed under: uncultured bacterium
Lineage: Bacteria
Description: partial 16S ribosomal RNA
Rfam family: Bacterial small subunit ribosomal RNA
Source: RNAcentral